RNAcentral lists this ribosomal RNA (443 nucleotides) under uncultured bacterium. RNAcentral's name for it is "partial 16S ribosomal RNA". It matches the Rfam family "Bacterial small subunit ribosomal RNA", at positions 338 to 795 of the family's 1533-position model. The record is from RNAcentral.
CCUACGGGAGGCAGCAGUGGGGAAUAUUGGGCAAUGGGCGCAAGCCUGACCCAGCAACGCCGCGUGAAGGAAGAAGGCUUUCGGGUUGUAAACUUCUUUUCUCAGGGACGAAGCAAGCGACGGUACCUGAGGAAUAAGCCACGGCUAACUACGUGCCAUCAGCCGCGGUCAUACGUAGGUGGCAAGCGGUAUCCGGAUUUACUGGGUGUAAAGGGCGUGUAGGCGGGACUGCAAGCCUGAUGUGAAAACCACGGGCUCAACCUGUGGCCUGCAUUUGAAACUGGAGUUCUUGAGUACUGGAGAGGCAGACGGAAUGCCUGGUGUAGCGGUGAAAUGCGUAGAUAGUAGGAGGAACACCGGUGGCGAAGGCGGUCUGCUGGACAGCAACUGACGCUGAGGCGCGAAAGCGUGGGGAGCAAACAGGAUUAGAUACCCGAGUAGUC